GAUGAAGAACGCAGCGAAAUGCGAUAAGUAAUGUGAAUAGCAGAAUUCAGUGAAUCAUCGAAUCUUUGAACGCACCUUGCGCCCUUUGGACAUUCCGAAGGGCAUGCCUGUUUGAGUAUCAUGAACACCUCAACUCUCACGGCUUGUCCGUGAUGAGCUUGGACUUUGGGGGUCUUGCCGGCCUGUGGUCGGCUCCUCUCAAAUGGAUCAGCUUGCCAGUGUUUGGUGGCAUCACAGGUGUGAUAACUAUCUGCGCUUGUGGUUUUCCAUCAGAUAACCUUCAGUGAUAUGGAGGUUCGCUGGAGCUCACAAAUGUCUCUCCUUAGUGAGGACAGCUCUUUGAACGUUUGAUCUCAAAUCAGGUAGGACUACCCGCUGAACUUAAGCAUAUCAAUAAGCGGAGGA
Molecule: unclassified non-coding RNA, 405 nt
Filed under: soil metagenome
Description: partial contains 5.8S ribosomal RNA, internal transcribed spacer 2, and large subunit ribosomal RNA
Rfam family: 5.8S ribosomal RNA (bases 1-121)
Source: RNAcentral